This 253-nucleotide ribosomal RNA is filed under the name uncultured bacterium. RNAcentral describes it as "partial 16S ribosomal RNA". It matches the Rfam family "Bacterial small subunit ribosomal RNA", at positions 524 to 776 of the family's 1533-position model. The record is from RNAcentral.
UACGUAGGGUGCAAGCGUUGUCCGGAAUUAUUGGGCGUAAAGAGCUCGUAGGCGGUUUGUUGCGUCGGCUGUGAAAUCCCGAGGCUCAACCUCGGGUCUGCAGUCGAUACGAGCAAACUAGAGUGUUGCAGGGGAGACUGGAAUUCCUGGUGUAGCGGUGAAAUGCGCAGAUAUCAGGAGGAACACCGGUGGCGAAGGCGGGUCUCUGGGCAACAACUGACGCUGAGGAGCGAAAGCGUGGUGAGCGAACAGG